Long non-coding RNA from Manacus vitellinus (golden-collared manakin), 1738 nucleotides. NCBI's taxonomy places the organism in Eukaryota, Metazoa, Chordata, Aves, Passeriformes, Pipridae. The record is from Ensembl.
CGCUGUAGCGGGUGCGCCCGGUGCUCCGCGGGCCGGCGGCGCCCGGACGGGAGCGCGCGAGGCUCAACCUUCCCGCGUCAGCGGCCGCCUCACGGGAAUGUGAGGGAGGGAGUCUGGGCACCCCCGAACCGAGCCCUGACAGGGAGGGAGACACCGGUCCCUCCGUGAGGGGAGAACACCUAACAGCGAGGAGUGACAGCGCUCAUCCCGUGAAUGGAGGGAGAACCCCUCACGGUGACAGCGCUCGUCCCGUGAAUGGAGGGAGAACCCCUCAGGGGUGACAGCGCUCGUCCCGUGAAUGGAGGGAGAACACCUCACGGUGACAGCGCUCGUCCCGUGAAUGGAGGGAGAACACCUCACAGACCAAGGGCAUGAGGGUCCCGGCGCCGCAGCCCUGAGGGGCAGCCACAGCCCCCGAGCGCCCCGUCGGCAGCACAAGCGGCCACAGCGUGUCCUUCAGAGCUCUCACAUGUUGUUCUCGCUUCUAUUUGAAAUUAGAAAUACCUUGAGAGAACAGACUUAACAUCACCAUCUCCAAUUCCAGGGCUGCCGCUGCCGCGUAUUGACUCACCUGAAGUUACCCCCCUCAAGCAUCCAGCGCGCAGGCAUCGUUUCCUCAGAGAAACAUCAUUUAACCACCCUGAGAAGAUAAACUCAACCUUCUCCUACUCAGCAGAUAAAGGCAAGUUAACUGCAAACUUCAGAAUAAAAAUCAAAAUAAUAAUUCUAUUUGCUUUCCCCAUUAAGCAAUUCCCUUCCACAUACACAUUUCUGUCCUUCAGCAAUGCAGCAGAACCCAAACUGUACACAGGUUUGGAUCUCAGCACUAGAGGGAAGUUAAAAAUACAUAAAGCUCUAGAGGAAUAAUAAAAUUACUUUUUCAAGACACAGCAGUUAACUAGAUAAACAACCACCCAAUUCAGCACAGAACACAAAUAUUCACAUAAAUCAGAAAACUCCCAGUAUCACAGCAAGUAGGAACACAACAGACCAAGUUUUAUCAUUAGCUAUAUGACACAUUAACCCCCUGCCUUUUACAGGGGCCAUACAUUCCAUCACCAUCAUCACAUUUCACUACUGUGGAAUCAGCACCAUUUUGUUUUGGAAGAGGAGGAUUCAACAGAAAGAAGAACAGGACACAGGGCAAAUAGAAAAUGCUUUGUAAUUUGCUGCCAUCUGGCAGCAGUGAAGAGCAAGACAGGUAAAAAAAAUAGAUUUACAACAGCAGCCUAAUUACACCACAGAGCCACACUCCACACUCUGUCCUGUUUCAGAAAAGUCAGUUUAAGAGAUUUUUUUAUUUGUCAUAGGAACAUCUCACCACCUUUCCCCCAGACAAGCUCAUGUCUCUCGUUAUUUCAUGGCAAGCAGCAGAGCCUGAAGAGCUCCAAAAGUUGAGACAUUUGAACAUUUCAUAUUUUACAGCCAAAAUAAUCAAUAUUAGAAAUCAAACACAAUUCAAAUGCCUUAAUUAACACGAAAGCUUUAGCACACACUAUCAAGAAACACAGACAUUCUGCAUGAAGCUUUGAAUUCCCUUCCCACUUCCAGGUGUUUAUUCUAAAGUGGCAACACUGGCCUAAGGAGGAUCAGUUGGUUGCAAUUCCUAAAGCUACUGCCAACUGUAAGAGAGUCCUAAACAGCUCCAGCUGUUGAGGCACAGGACACACUCUUUGAUUAUACUGCAGAGGAAUGCAAACAAUUAUGAACCUGCAACAAACAAACUGUAUUUUUGGAU